This 405-nucleotide ribosomal RNA is filed under the name uncultured bacterium. RNAcentral describes it as "partial 16S ribosomal RNA". It matches the Rfam family "Bacterial small subunit ribosomal RNA", at positions 29 to 526 of the family's 1533-position model. The record is from RNAcentral.
AUUGAACGCUGGCGGCAGGCUUAACACAUGAAAGUCGAACGAGUGGCGGACGGGUGAGUAAUGCUUGGGAAUCUAGCUUAUGGAGGGGGAUAAAUACGGGGAACUGUAGCUAAUACCGCGUACCCUAGGAUGAGCCCAAGUGGGAUAGGGUAGUUGGUGAGGUAAAGGCUCACCAAGCCGGCGAUCUCUAGCUGGUCGGAGAGGAUGACCGGCCACACUGGGACGGAGAAACGGCCCAGACUCCUACGGGAGGCAGCAGUGGGGAAGAUUGCGCAAUGGGGGCAACCUGACGCAGCCAUGCCGCGGGAAUGAAGAAGGCCUUCGGGUUGUAAAGUUCUUUCGGUAGCGAGGCGGUAACUACAGAAGAAGCACCGGCUAACUCCGUGCCAGCAGCCGCGGUAAUAC